GCGCCCGUAGCUCAACGGGAUAGAGUAACUGGCUACGAACCAGGAGGUUGGGGGUUCGAGUCCCUCCGGGCGCGCCA
This 77-nucleotide transfer RNA is filed under the name Neomoorella thermoacetica. RNAcentral's name for it is "tRNA-Arg". It matches the Rfam family "tRNA". From Rfam's summary of the family: Transfer RNA (tRNA) molecules are approximately 80 nucleotides in length. RNAcentral also lists the same sequence under 10 other names. Lineage: Bacteria; Bacillati; Bacillota; Clostridia; Neomoorellales; Neomoorellaceae. The record is from RNAcentral.